RNAcentral lists this ribosomal RNA (253 nucleotides) under uncultured bacterium. RNAcentral describes it as "partial 16S ribosomal RNA". It matches the Rfam family "Bacterial small subunit ribosomal RNA", at positions 524 to 776 of the family's 1533-position model. The record is from RNAcentral.
UACAGAGGUCUCAACCGUUGUUCGGAUUCAUUGGGCGUAAAGGGUGCGUAGGCGGUCGUGCAAGUCGGAUGUGAAAUCUCAGGGCUCAACCCUGAAACUGCAUUCGAUACUGCGCGGCUAGAGUACUGGAGGGGAGACUGGAAUUUACGGUGUAGCAGUGAAAUGCGUAGAUAUCGUAAGGAAGACCAGUGGCGAAGGCGAGUCUCUGGACAGCAACUGACGCUGAGGCACGAAGGCCAGGGGAGCAAACGGG